AGUGAACGCUGGCGGUAGGCCUAACACAUGCAAGUCGAACGGCAGCACAGUAAGAGCUUGCCCUUACGGGUGGCGAGUGGCGGACGGGUGAGGAAUACAUCGGAAUCUACUUUUUCGUGGGGGAUCACGUAGGGAAACUUACGCUAAUACCGCAUACGACCUACGGGUGAAAGCAGGGGAUCUUCGGACCUUGCGCGAUUGAAUGGGCCGAUGUCGGAUUAGCUAGUUGGCGGGGUAAAGGCCCACCAAGGCGACGAUCCGUAGCUGGUCUGAGAGGAUGAUCAGCCACACUGGAACUGAGACACGGUCCAGACUCCUACGGGAGGCAGCAGUGGGGAAUAUUGGACAAUGGGCGCAAGCCUGAUCCAGCCAUACCGCGUGGGUGAAGAAGGCCUUCGGGUUGUAAAGCCCUUUUGUUGGGAAAGAAAAGCAGCAGGUUAAUACCCCGCUGUUCUGACGGUACCCAAAGAAUAAGCACCGGCUAACUUCGUG
RNAcentral lists this ribosomal RNA (492 nucleotides) under uncultured bacterium. Its description in RNAcentral is "partial 16S ribosomal RNA". It matches the Rfam family "Bacterial small subunit ribosomal RNA", at positions 29 to 507 of the family's 1533-position model. The record is from RNAcentral.